Molecule: non-coding RNA, 23 nt
Filed under: Arabidopsis thaliana (thale cress)
Lineage: Eukaryota; Viridiplantae; Streptophyta; Magnoliopsida; Brassicales; Brassicaceae
Source: RNAcentral
UGUUUGGCAAGUUGUGUAAUCUG